CUGGAUUGUUCUGGACUAUUUUGGAUUAUUCUCGAUCACCCCCCUGGGACCUGACUCGUCAUUACCCUUGUCAGUUGUCAUUAUUGUAUAGUUUGCUGAUACUUAUUGUGAAUUUACUAUACGAAGUAAAAAUGUUUAUUGGCAGUCAAUCUCUGAACUUGAAACAAUAGCAAUAGUCUAGCCUGUCUAGCUAUAAUUAUACUCUUUCGCAUGGUUGCAAGAAGAAUCCAACAGAAACCAGACAGUUCUCUCCCUCCCACGCUAUGUGUAAAAAGAAGCACUGGCAGUGGCAAAAAGGUGUGGCUGGAUCCAAUAAUCAGAGAUGGGGCCACGUAUGUACAGUGAACGUGAACAGAGGAACAGUGGCAGUAGCAGCGAGAGAGAAGCCGGAUCGCUGCAUAUGACGCCAAUUGGCGUCAACGGCCGUGUCGGCCACUUACCAGAGUGACGCCAAUAGGCGUCAUUGACGCAUAAUCGGUUAAGUCAUUAUAAGUGUGCAUUAAAACUAAAUCAUGCAUAUUUAUUAUGGUGUUCACUUAAUGAAUAAUUACAAUAAUGUUAUAAUUCAAACGUAAAUUGCAACUGUUAAUCCGGCCAUGCAUGCAUGCAGGUAUUAUGGCUCUAUUUAAACUUUUAUUUCGAGUUUGAAGUCCAAGCAAGCUACUUCUGUCUUAUUCUCAUCAGAAACAACAAGAUGAACUUCAUACCAGCCCUGCAGUUAUGACACAAUAAUUAUAGUUGGACCAAUUAGCGUAUAAUUUUUAUAUACAUGUAUUGCAUUUACAGCAUAUAAUUAUAGGUUCAACAGUAAAUUA
Long non-coding RNA from Halichondria panicea, 815 nucleotides. RefSeq lists it as uncharacterized. The transcript is spliced from 4 exons. The record is from RefSeq and is a predicted model, not a curated record. NCBI's taxonomy places the organism in Eukaryota, Metazoa, Porifera, Demospongiae, Suberitida, Halichondriidae.